UCAAUAAGCUUGGACAUUUUAUUAAAUAUAUAUCUGAAUAUACAAAACUGGUUCAUUUGCACUCAUUUCUGAAGAUAUUUUAAAUCUUGUAGUUAAAAAUCAGAUGUGCCAAUAAUUCUGACCAGGGCUGAGGAAGAAUCUUUCAAACAGGU
Thalassophryne amazonica is the source of this 152-nucleotide long non-coding RNA. RefSeq lists it as uncharacterized. The transcript is spliced from 3 exons. The record is from RefSeq and is a predicted model, not a curated record. Lineage: Eukaryota; Metazoa; Chordata; Actinopteri; Batrachoidiformes; Batrachoididae.